AAUAACCAAAAACCAAAACAAACCAGUGAAACAAAAGAACAUAAGCUAAGCCAAAAAGAGAUAAAGAUAAUAAAUAAACAGGGAAUAUAUACAAGGGAAGAAACUAGAAAUAAACAAGGAAGAAAACUAUAAACGAGAAAACAAGAAAUAAACAAGGAACUAAGGCUAUGAGAGAACAAGGAAACACUGAGAAAAGCUAUUAAACACUGAGAGAGACAAACGACAGGUGAAGGUGCGAAGACCGACGGAGGACAAGUGACAGAGGAGGGCUAUUUAACCAAACAGGACACACACUAGAAUUGGAAACACCUGGGGAAGGGGCGGAGCUACAAAUGAGACAUGUGGUGGAAAACUACUGACAGGAGACACAGAGGAGCACAGGUCACGUGGGAAUAACACACAGAGACAUGAGACAAGACCAGGACGUGACAGGGAGAAGGAUUGGCCUGUGGCUUCUGGAGGACAGUGGUUGGCACUAAGGGCAGCACCGCGGAGGCAGCUGCCGGAGUGGCCUGUGGAGAAGCAGACCGAGUGCCAGGAGUUUGGAGAUCCAGUGACUACAGGAUGCUGUAGAUGGAGACCCAGGUCUAUCACAUUGCUGAUGGCUACAUGGAUUCUGGCAGUGAGGAGUAAU
RNAcentral lists this long non-coding RNA (634 nucleotides) under Astyanax mexicanus (Mexican tetra). Its description in RNAcentral is "lncRNA (ENSAMXG00005009256.1)". The record is from RNAcentral. Lineage: Eukaryota; Metazoa; Chordata; Actinopteri; Characiformes; Acestrorhamphidae.